This 74-nucleotide transfer RNA is filed under the name Staphylococcus aureus. RNAcentral describes it as "tRNA-Ala". The record is from RNAcentral. Lineage: Bacteria; Bacillati; Bacillota; Bacilli; Caryophanales; Staphylococcaceae.
GGAUAUAUUCGGAACAUCUUCUCGCCUGCUUUGCACGCAGGAGGUCAGCGGUUCGAUCCCGCUAGUCUCCACCA